Molecule: long non-coding RNA, 468 nt
Organism: Stegodyphus dumicola
Lineage: Eukaryota; Metazoa; Arthropoda; Arachnida; Araneae; Eresidae
Source: RefSeq, a predicted model, not a curated record
UCGGGCUAAAACACGCAAACUAAGAUGCACCACACGUUGCUCCUAUUUUGUUUACAUUUUGCGUCGGUAGAAGCAGUAGGAAAGUGAAAAAUGUAUCAAAUUUUGUUAUCAGUUUUGGAGCAGCCGGUAUUUGCCGUAUUGAAAUCAGAGUAUAAUUUGAAUAGAUGACUUUUUUAAAAGAUUGACACAGGAUGUACGUAGAAGUUUUCAUGUGGAAAAUACUGUAGCAGUGAUAAAGUUAGAAGGCUACAUAAAGAAUAUUAUGUGAAAAAUAGUGAAAGUUCCUGGUUGAGCUUCAUUAGAGACAGCAUGCUUCGAUCUUCAGGAAUCAUCGAUAAGUGCAAACAAUAUAUCUUUACCUUUGAUAAAUCUGAAAAGAAGAAAAGAGUAGAAAGGUAGAAGAAGAGGAAACUUUCGUUGCCAGUAAAUAGUGCAAACUCGUCAUCUUUCAAGUUGAACCCGAAGAAU